AGGACGAACGCUGGCGGCGUGCUUAACACAUGCAAGUCGAGCGGUAAGGCCUUUCGGGGUACACGAGCGGCGAACGGGUGAGUAACACGUGGGCGACCUGCCCUCAGCUCUGGGAUAAGCCCGGGAAACUGGGUCUAAUACCGGAUAUGACCACAUGUCGCAUGGUGUGUGGUGGAAAGUCUCGGGUUUAAUUAUCUGGGCUCGGCUGGGGAUGGGCCCGCGGCCUAGUCAGCUUGUUGGUGGGGUGAUGGCCUACCGAAGGCGACGACGGGUA
Molecule: ribosomal RNA, 274 nt
Filed under: uncultured bacterium
Lineage: Bacteria
Description: partial small subunit ribosomal RNA
Rfam family: Bacterial small subunit ribosomal RNA
Source: RNAcentral